UCCUCCGUGGCGCAAUUGGCUAGCGCGUCUGACUGUUAUAACAGUGUGUUAUCCGAUAAUCCGCUUGAGCAAAUCAGGAGGUUGAAAGUUCGAGCCUUUCCGGGGGGAG
Molecule: transfer RNA, 109 nt
Filed under: Ascochyta rabiei
Lineage: Eukaryota; Fungi; Ascomycota; Dothideomycetes; Pleosporales; Didymellaceae
Description: tRNA-Asn
Rfam family: tRNA
About the family: Transfer RNA (tRNA) molecules are approximately 80 nucleotides in length. Their secondary structure includes four short double-helical elements and three loops (D, anti-codon, and T loops).
Source: RNAcentral